RNAcentral lists this microRNA precursor (58 nucleotides) under Microcaecilia unicolor. RNAcentral's name for it is "Mun-Mir-124-P4-v2_pre stem-loop". It matches the Rfam family "mir-124 microRNA precursor family", at positions 8 to 66 of the family's 72-position model. From Rfam's summary of the family: The mature ~21nt miRNAs are processed from hairpin precursor sequences represented here, in this case originating from the 3' arm. The bounds of the precursors are predicted based on conservation and base pairing and are not generally known. The record is from RNAcentral. Lineage: Eukaryota; Metazoa; Chordata; Amphibia; Gymnophiona; Siphonopidae.
CGUGUUCACAGCGGACCUUGAUUUAAUUUCAUAGAAUUAAGGCACGCGGUGAAUGCCA